Parus major (Great Tit) is the source of this 1591-nucleotide long non-coding RNA. Lineage: Eukaryota; Metazoa; Chordata; Aves; Passeriformes; Paridae. The record is from Ensembl.
AUAAUAAGCACUAUGUGCCCCCUUUAUCAUCAUCAAAUAUGUCAUGAUUUUGUACCCUUCUACACAGGUGCAGCUGGAGCAUGAAGUCAGUGGAAAUGCAAUGCCUCAAAUCUUGCUAGAAUUCAGUAGCAAAUCUGUCACAGAACUGUUGGAAGUACAUGGAAUCUGGACUGUCACACAGAAAAAGGUGUCUGCAGCUACAGGUUUUCACCACAAGUUUCACCUUGGGUCAAGCCAGAGCUGAUUGAACUUGCACCACAAAAUAAGUGGAUGCUGUCACACAGUCUCGUUCAAGGGAGAAUCCAGCUGGUGUCAUACAGGAAGAGCUGUUGUUCCUCUGGGGAAUAAGGAAUAGCUCAAAAGCUGAAAAGCUGCAGUGACCUAAGGCUGGACUGAAUGUGGUGGAAAGUAAAUGGAAGAACCAAAGGAAAGGAAAGGAAGAAAUCUGGACUUUUCAAGUUAUAUGCUCUUGUAUGAGCCAAGCUGGAGGCCAAGGGACUUCCAUGUCCUGGUUGGGACAAAACCUUGCAAGACAAGAGGUCUGGAGUGUGGGUCUAAGAGGAGCCUUCCCGAGCAGGAGUUGUGGGCAGGGGAAAAGGAGUACUCUGGGCUCCCAGAGAGGACAUGGUGUGCCAGCUCCAAAGAAAGAGACUGCAGCUGCCCUCCUGCUAAGACCUACUGACAACCACAUGUUUGGUGGGAUGUGAAGUUCCAUGCCAUUUACACUAAUAACAGCCUCCAGCUUGCCUGACAAUUUGUAAGAAUGGGUACUUCCAGACUUCCUCUAAACCAACAAAUUUGAGCAGAGACCCUUAGAUUGUGUGUUAAAAACUAAAUGUUUAAUUUGAUUUCAUCUUUAAAGAAAACAUACCUUGUCAUCAGAUGUGACAUGUUCUUUGAAGCUAUUACUUCAGUAAUGUUAAUCUAUCAAUCUUUUUAAAUGAGGCAUGCAUUGUAAAGAGAGGGAUAACUCAUUAAAUGAAAAGCUAUAGCUGCAAGAAAUGGACUGGCUUCUAAUAAGCAAGUUUGUUCUUUUUUUCCAUGCAUUGUAAAAAAGCCCUCUGUGCAAACAUAGGUGCUUCUAUAUCCACCACAACUAUUACUAGUCUUCUUUGGAGUACCUUUGCAAUUAAUUCCAUCUUAACUACUUUUGAGUUAGGAAACUAUUCUAGCUAGUGUUUCUCUCUGAGAUAAAUCUCUGGGAGGAUUUGAAUUAUCAAUUAUCUGUGACCAUAUGGUCAGAAAACAGUUUUUUUUUGUGGUGUUUUGUUAUUUUUUUCAGUUGAUUGACUGUGCAGCUUUUCAAACCCACAGGAUUCUUGAUAUAGCAAGUCAAGCUAUAUGACUUCAUACUAUAUAAAAAAGUAGUAGUCCAUACUGUUUUAGUCAUACUGAUACAAUUCAUCAUAUGCUUAGUUUUAAACUGAGACAUGACUCUUCUUAACAGUUAUCCUGGAAUUAGAAAAGUAUUUUACUUUGCUCCCAGUAUACACAUUAAAAUUUAUGUCUUUAAAAUGUUAGUAGUAUAAUUACAUUUGUACAACCUUUCUGCCUUAUUUCUUUAAUCAAUAAAUCUAGUCUGACCUGUACA